RNAcentral lists this unclassified non-coding RNA (340 nucleotides) under Hevea brasiliensis (rubber tree). Lineage: Eukaryota; Viridiplantae; Streptophyta; Magnoliopsida; Malpighiales; Euphorbiaceae. The record is from RNAcentral.
AGAUGAUCAGCUUCAUUCCCCCCUUCCUCAGCUCCUCCAAGCUGAAGAAGCGGUCGGCAAAGGAGCGCCGGUCGGUAUCUCGAUCGGAAAACUCCUCCUUUGCCUCCACCACCUCCACCUCUUCUGAGGAUUUAUCUCCCACCCCGAGAUCUAUCCUCCCUAGGACGAUCACUGGGCGGGAAUUGGAGGUUGUGAUGCGGCACCUCGAUCCUGAUGGCCCUACUGAGGCUGAGGUGCUCGCAACUUUAUCGGACGCCGGUGUUUCUGUGUCGAGAUCCGGACGGAUUGCUCUCACAGAACUCACGGCGCUCGGUGGAGCUGGGGGAAGUGAGGAGAUGAG